AGAGUUUGAUUCUGGCUCAGGAUGAACGCUAGCGGCAGGCCUAAUACAUGCAAGUCGAGGGGCAGCAGGGGUAGCAAUACUCGCUGGCGACCGGCGCAUGGGUGCGUAACACGUAUGCAACUUUCCUUCAACUGGAAGAUAGCCCGAAGAAAUUCGGAUUAAUAUUCCAUUUAUAUGAAAUGGCAUCAUUUUAUAUUUAAAGCUCAGGCGGUUGAAGAUGGGCAUGCGUUCGAUUAGCUAGUUGGUGAGGUAAUGGCUCACCAAGGCUACGAUCGAUAGGGGAUCUGAGAGGAUUAACCCCCACACUGGUACUGAGACACGGACCAGACUCCUACGGGAGGCAGCAGUAAGGAAUAUUGGACAAUGGAGGCAACUCUGAUCCAGCCAUGCCGCGUGAAGGAUGAAGGUCCUAUGGAUUGUAAACUUCUUUUGAACGGGAGAAAACCUUCGGUCGUGUACCGAAGCUGAUAGUACCGUUAGAAUAAGGGUCGGCUAACUUCGUGCCAGCAGCCGCGGUAAUACGAAGGACCCGAGCGUUAUCCGGAUUUAUUGGGUUUAAAGGGUGCGUAGGCGGAAUGGUAAGUCAGUGGUGAAAUCUUGUGGCUUAACUGCAAAACUGCCAUUGAUACUGCCAAUCUUGAGUACAUUUGAUGUGGGCGGAAUGUGCCAUGUAGUGGUGAAAUACUUAGAUAUGGCACAGAACACCGAUCGCGAAGGCAGCUCACAAAACUGUUACUGACGCUGAGGCACGAAAGCGUGGGGAUCAAACAGGAUUAGAUACCCUGGUAGUCCACGCCUUAAACUAUGAUUACUCGAUGUGUGCGAUACACAGUACGCGUCUAAGCGAAAGCGUUAAGUAAUCCACCUGGGGAGUACGGUCGCAAGAUUGAAACUCAAAGAAAUUGACGGGGGCCCGCACAAGCGGAGGAGCAUGUGGUUUAAUUCGAUGAUACGCGAGGAACCUUACCUGGGCUUGAAAGUUAGUGAAUGCUGUGGAAACAUGGCAGGCCGCAAGGACACGAAACUAGGUGCUGCAUGGCUGUCGUCAGCUCGUGCCGUGAGGUGUUGGGUUAAGUCCCGCAACGAGCGCAACCCCUAUCUUUAGUUGCCAGCGAGUAAUGUCGGGGACUCUAAAGAAACUGCCCGUGCAAACGGUGAGGAAGGUGGGGAUGACGUCAAGUCAGCACGGCCCUUACGUCCAGGGCUACACACGUGCUACAAUGGCGAGUACAAAGGGCAGCUACAUGGUGACAUGAUGCUAAUCUCUAAAACUCGUCUCAGUUCGGAUUGAAGUCUGCAAUUCGACUUCAUGAAGCUGGAUUCGCUAGUAAUCGAAUAUCAGCAAUGAUUCGGUGAAUACGUUCCCGGGCCUUGUACACACCGCCCGUCAAACAAUGGGAGCUGAGGGUACUUAAAGUCGAUAACCGCAAGGAGUCGCCUAGGGUAAAAUCGGUAACUGGUGUUAAGUCGUAACAAGGUA
This 1480-nucleotide ribosomal RNA is filed under the name metagenome. Its description in RNAcentral is "bacterial SSU rRNA". It matches the Rfam family "Bacterial small subunit ribosomal RNA". The record is from RNAcentral.